Non-coding RNA from Acanthosepion pharaonis, 107 nucleotides. NCBI's taxonomy places the organism in Eukaryota, Metazoa, Mollusca, Cephalopoda, Sepiida, Sepiidae. The record is from the annotation of a GenBank genome assembly.
CACAUCACUUUGAAAAACCAGUUCCCGUAUGGUCACCGAAGUUAAGCAACGCCGAACCUGAUCAGUACCUUGAUGGGUGACCGCUUGGGACAAUCAGGUGCUGUAUG